AUUGAACGCUGGCGGCAUGCCUUACACAUGCAAGUCGAACGGCAGCACGGGUGCUUGCACCUGGUGGCGAGUGGCGAACGGGUGAGUAAUACAUCGGAACAUGUCCUGUAGUGGGGGAUAGCCCGGCGAAAGCCGGAUUAAUACCGCAUACGAUCUACGGAUGAAAGCGGGGGACCUUCGGGCCUCGCGCUAUAGGGUUGGCCGAUGGCUGAUUAGCUAGUUGGUGGGGUAAAGGCCUACCAAGGCGACGAUCAGUAGCUGGUCUGAGAGGACGACCAGCACACUGGGACUGAGACACGGCCCAGACUCCUACGGGAGGCAGCAGUGGGGAAUUUUGGACAAUGGGCGAAAGCCUGAUCCAGCAAUGCCGCGUGUGUGAAGAAGGCCUUCGGGUUGUAAAGCACUUUUGUCCGGAAAGAAAUCCUUGGCCCUAAUACGGUCGGGGGGAUGACGGUACCGGAAGAAUAAGCACCGGCUAACUACGUG
RNAcentral lists this ribosomal RNA (486 nucleotides) under uncultured bacterium. RNAcentral's name for it is "partial 16S ribosomal RNA". It matches the Rfam family "Bacterial small subunit ribosomal RNA", at positions 30 to 507 of the family's 1533-position model. The record is from RNAcentral.